RNAcentral lists this ribosomal RNA (507 nucleotides) under uncultured bacterium. RNAcentral describes it as "partial 16S ribosomal RNA". It matches the Rfam family "Bacterial small subunit ribosomal RNA", at positions 29 to 523 of the family's 1533-position model. The record is from RNAcentral.
AGUGAACGCUGGCGGUAGGCCUAACACAUGCAAGUCGAACGGCAGCACAGGAGAGCUUGCUCUCUGGGUGGCGAGUGGCGGACGGGUGAGGAAUACAUCGGAAUCUACUCUGUCGUGGGGGAUAACGUAGGGAAACUUACGCUAAUACCGCAUACGACCUACGGGUGAAAGCAGGGGACCUUCGGGCCUUGCGCGAUUGAAUGAGCCGAUGUCGGAUUAGCUAGGUUGGCGGGGUAAAGGCCCACCAAGGCGACGAUCCGUAGCUGGUCUGAGAGGAUGAGCAGCCACACUGGAACUGAGACACGGUCCAGACUCCUACGGGAGGCAGCAGUGGGGAAUAUUGGACAAUGGGCGCAAGCCUGAUCCAGCCAUACCGCGUGGGUGAAGAAGGCCUUCGGGUUGUAAAGCCCUUUUGUUGGGAAAGAAAUCCAGCUGGCUAAUACCCGGUUGGGAUGACGGUACCCAAAGAAUAAGCACCGGCUAACUUCGUGCCAGCAGCCGCCGUAA